GCGUGCGUGGUGGAAUUGGCAGACACACCAUCUUGAGGGGGUGGCGCCGCGAGGCAUACAGGUUCAAGUCCUGUCGCACGCACCA
Molecule: transfer RNA, 85 nt
Filed under: Candidatus Omnitrophota bacterium
Lineage: Bacteria; Pseudomonadati; Candidatus Omnitrophota
Description: Candidatus Omnitrophica bacterium tRNA-Leu
Rfam family: tRNA
About the family: Transfer RNA (tRNA) molecules are approximately 80 nucleotides in length. Their secondary structure includes four short double-helical elements and three loops (D, anti-codon, and T loops).
Source: RNAcentral